GAUUGAACGCUGGCGGCAUGCCUUACACAUGCAAGUCGAACGGCAGCACGGGAGCAAUCCUGGUGGCGAGUGGCGAACGGGUGAGUAAUAUAUCGGAACGUGCCCAGUCGUGGGGGAUAACGUAGCGAAAGCUACGCUAAUACCGCAUACGAUCUAUGGAUGAAAGCGGGGAUCGCAAGAACCUCGCGCGAUUGGAGCGGCUGAUAUCAGAUUAGGUUGUUGGUGAGGUAAAAGCUCACCAAGCCGACGAUCUGUAGCUGGUUUGAGAGAACGACCAGCCACACUGGGACUGAGACACGGCCCAGACUCCUACGGGAGGCAGCAGUGGGGAAUAUUGGACAAUGGGCGAAAGCCUGAUCCAGCAAUGCCGCGUGCAGGAUGAAGGCCUUCGGGUUGUAAACUGCUUUUGUACGGAACGAAACGGUGAGCUCUAAUACAGUUUGCUAAUGACGGUACCGUAAGAAUAAGCACCGGCUAACUACGUG
RNAcentral lists this ribosomal RNA (485 nucleotides) under uncultured bacterium. RNAcentral's name for it is "bacterial SSU rRNA". It matches the Rfam family "Bacterial small subunit ribosomal RNA", at positions 27 to 507 of the family's 1533-position model. The record is from RNAcentral.